This 253-nucleotide ribosomal RNA is filed under the name uncultured bacterium. RNAcentral describes it as "partial 16S ribosomal RNA". It matches the Rfam family "Bacterial small subunit ribosomal RNA", at positions 524 to 776 of the family's 1533-position model. The record is from RNAcentral.
UACGUAGGGGGCAAGCGUUGUCCGGAUUUAUUGGGCGUAAAGAGCGUGUAGGCGGCCAUGCAGGUCAGCUGUGAAAACUCGAGGCUCAACCUCGAGACGUCGGUUGAAACCGCUUGGCUAGAGUCCGGAAGAGGAGAGUGGAAUUCCCGGUGUAGCGGUGAAAUGCGCAGAUAUCGGGAAGAACACCCGUGGCGAAGGCGGCUCUCUGGGACGGUACUGACGCUGAGGAGCGAAAGCCAGGGGAGCAAACGGG